RNAcentral lists this ribosomal RNA (497 nucleotides) under uncultured bacterium. RNAcentral describes it as "partial 16S ribosomal RNA". It matches the Rfam family "Bacterial small subunit ribosomal RNA", at positions 28 to 507 of the family's 1533-position model. The record is from RNAcentral.
GAUGAACGCUGGCGGCGUGCCUAAUACAUGCAAGUCGAGCGAACGGACGAGAAGCUUGCUUCUCUGAUGUUAGCGGCGGACGGGUGAGUAACACGUGGAUAACCUACCUAUAAGACUGGGAUAACUUCGGGAAACCGUAGCUAAUACCGGAUAAUAUUUUGAACCGCAUGGUUCAAAAGUGAAAGACGGUCUUGCUGUCACUUAUAGAUGGAUCCGCGCUGCAUUAGCUAGUUGGUAAGGUAACGGCUUACCAAGGCAACGAUGCAUAGCCGACCUGAGAGGGUGAUCGGCCACACUGGCACUGAGACACGGUCCAGACUCCUACGGGAGGCAGCAGUAGGGAAUCUUCCGCAAUGGGCGAAAGCCUGACGGAGCAACGCCGCGUGAGUGAUGAAGGUCUUCGGAUCGUAAAACUCUGUUAUUAGGGAAGAACAUAUGUGUAAGUAACUGUGCACAUCUUGACGGUACCUAAUCAGAAAGCCACGGCUAACUACGUG